GGACUACUGGGGUAUCUAAUCCUGUUUGCUCCCCUAGCUUUCGUUCCUCAGCGUCAGUAGUGAUCCAGCUCGCCGCUUUCGCCACGGGUGUUCCUGCAGAUAUCUACGCAUUUCACCGCUACACCUGCAAUUCCACGAGCCUCUCUCACACUCGAGCACAGCAGUUUUGGAAGCAGCCUCUGGGUUAAGCCCAGAGAUUUCACUCCCAACUUGCCGCACCGCCUACGAACCCUUUACACCCAGUAAUUCCGAACAACGCUGGCCCCCUACGUCUUACCGCGGCUGCUGGCAC
Molecule: ribosomal RNA, 292 nt
Filed under: uncultured Acidobacteriota bacterium
Lineage: Bacteria; Pseudomonadati; Acidobacteriota
Description: uncultured Acidobacteria bacterium partial 16S ribosomal RNA
Source: RNAcentral